GUUCCUGUAGUUAAAUAGAUAACGGUGGUUUUUCAAGCCAUCAUUCUUGGUUUAAGUCCUGGCGGGAACU
This 70-nucleotide transfer RNA is filed under the name Halichoeres melanurus (tail-spot wrasse). RNAcentral describes it as "tRNA-Glu". It matches the Rfam family "tRNA". From Rfam's summary of the family: Transfer RNA (tRNA) molecules are approximately 80 nucleotides in length. The record is from RNAcentral. Lineage: Eukaryota; Metazoa; Chordata; Actinopteri; Labriformes; Labridae.